GUCUGAUGCAGCAACGCCGCGUGGAGGAUGACACAUUUCGGUGCGUAAACUCCUUUUAUAUGAGAAGAUAAUGACGGUAUUAUAUGAAUAAGCACCGGCUAACUCCGUGCCAGCAGCCGCGGUAAUACGGGGGGUGCAAGCGUUACUCGGAAUCACUGGGCGUAAAGAGCAUGUAGGCGGAUUAAUAAGUUUGAAGUGAAAUCCUAUAGCUUAACUAUAGAACUGCUUUGAAAACUGUUAAUCUAGAAUGUGGGAGAGGUAGAUGGAAUUUCUGGUGUAGGGGUAAAAUCCGUAGAGAUCAGAAGGAAUACCGAUUGCGAAGGCGAUCUACUGGAACAUUAUUGACGCUGAGAUGCGAAAGCGUGGGGAGCAAACAGGAUUAGAUACCCUGGUAGUCCACGCCCUAAACGAUGUACACUAGUUGUUGUGAGACUUGAUCUUGCAGUAAUGCAGUUAACACAUUAAGUGUACCGCCUGGGGAGUACGGUCGCAAGAUUAAAACUCAAAGGAAUAGACGGGGACCCGCACAAGCGGUGGAGCAUGUGGUUUAAUUCGACGAUACACGAAGAACCUUACCUGGACUUGACAUAGUAAGAACUUUCUAGAGAUAGAUUGGUGUCUGCUUGCAGAAACUUAUAUACAGGUGCUGCACGGCUGUCGUCAGCUCGUGUCGUGAGAUGUUGGGUUAAGUCCCGCAACGAGCGCAACCCUCGUGUUUAGUUGCUAACAGUUCGGCUGAGAACUCUAAACAGACUGCCUA
Molecule: ribosomal RNA, 760 nt
Filed under: uncultured Arcobacter sp.
Lineage: Bacteria; Pseudomonadati; Campylobacterota; Epsilonproteobacteria; Campylobacterales; Arcobacteraceae
Description: bacterial SSU rRNA
Rfam family: Bacterial small subunit ribosomal RNA
Source: RNAcentral